GGAUACGGGUGCCGCAGGAGGCCGAUUGCAAGUGUCGACAAGCAAUCGGAACGCGAAUCGAGGUACACACGUGUGCAGCGCGGCGGCGCAAGGUGAGGGCGUAGUUCUGCAGAUAGCGUCCUACCCCAGAGACUGAGAUAGUUGUACCCUGUGGCAGUCUAGCUUAAGGGUUUAAAAGAAAUGAAAAGAAAUGUAUCGAGCUUGUUUAAGUUGUAAUAACUUAGAUUGUGAUUGGAGGUCGAAUGUAAAAGAAUGGUAAUUGUGAUGUAAACACUAUGAAUGCGAAUGAAUGUAAUAAUUUAGGAUGUGUUUAUGUUGUAUGA
Molecule: long non-coding RNA, 323 nt
Organism: Ananas comosus (pineapple)
Lineage: Eukaryota; Viridiplantae; Streptophyta; Magnoliopsida; Poales; Bromeliaceae
Exons: 2
Source: RefSeq, a predicted model, not a curated record